This is a long non-coding RNA of Contarinia nasturtii (swede midge), 1929 nucleotides long. RefSeq lists it as uncharacterized. The transcript is spliced from 3 exons. Lineage: Eukaryota; Metazoa; Arthropoda; Insecta; Diptera; Cecidomyiidae. The record is from RefSeq and is a predicted model, not a curated record.
CGGCUUUCCAAUCGGUGCCAAGUGCUGUUGCAAAAGAUUCUCGAAUGUGUUGAUUGCUACAACGAAAUGCCAGUUUCAGCGUUUUGAGUGUUUCACAUUCAGCAACGAAUCGGCACAGGUGAGAUGAUGUUGAAAUAAAGUCGCCAAAUAAGUAAAGGAUCGUAAGUUGAGGCAGAGUUUUUGCAAAUAAUGUGAGAUUUUCAUCCAAUUUCUCCAUCGGCAUCAAUUCUUCGAGUGAAAACUUUUUGGUCAUUAUUGUCUGUCCGGGCGUUAGACCCAAACUAAUCAAAUUUGUGCACUUUGUGAUGAAAUCAGUCCAUUUUGAAUACGAUGCCGAGUAGCCGAUUAUACAUAAAUUCUUCAGAUUUGCAGCUGACAGUGAUACUUGGCAUUCGUUCUUUUCUGGAAGAUAAAUUGUGAGCUGUGUCAGUGUCUGGAAGUCAAUAACAGCGUCUUCGGGUGAAUUUUCAUUGCCGGUACCAUUAAACAUAAGCUCUGCAGAUGAGAAUUUCGAUGCAAACACGACACAACAUUUGAAAUUGACAAUUGACUCAGUUCUUGUCGAUCGUGUUUCAAUGUCAAUUUUGUCAAGGCAGGAAAUGUUGCUUCGAUGUGUUUUGGAUCAGAAAAUGUUGAAUUUACUAAUUUUAAAUGUUUAACACUCGGAAACCAUUGACAUAGGCGAGAGAGAUUUUGUCGAAAGUCACCUUCAUGAAUGGACAAUUUCGUAAUGGCCGGAAAUGAUUCGUGUACUUUGUUGAAUGUCCAUGCAUCGAACGAUUGGAUUUUCAGCUUCUGUAAUGAAUCAGCACAAUGUAAAACAAUGUCACGUUCAAUUUUACUCCAAUUGCUCGGGUCAUCCAUCAGGAAAUUUCGAUUGGAGUAAUCGAUUUCCAGCUUCAACACCAAAUGCCCAAACAAACGAAGAAAUGUUGCGGAUUCAAUGUCACUUUUCAUGCGAAUAUUUUGAUCCAGAACGACCGACGUUGAACAAAUGAAACCAGAUUCAUCGAUCACCACGGUUUCAUUGUUGUAUUUUUGUCCGAAUAUCGACUUUGCUGGUGUUCUCAAUAUUGCAUGUGCAUCUGCCAAUGUUGUUAAUUCCGACAAACUCAAGUAGUUAAACAAAUGUGAGGCGAUAAUGCGAUGAUCAUGUUGAUUUUGCGAAGUAUCAUUGAUAUUAACCAUUUUAUCUGAAAAUUCCAUUGCGACUACAGCACAAUUGAACCAGGAAGUAUCAACAUGUAUUCAAAUAAAAAACAAUAAUAAACAUACUAAGACAGUGAUCAUGGUAAUUGUGUGCGUUUUCAAGUACUGCAGAGAAAGAGAGUCUGAGGAUAACCUACAAGCCCUCAACAACGAAACAAAUACCACAUUAUCAACUAUAAACGAGGAUGUGACUUCCAACCCCGAAGAGAAACAAUAUGUAACCAUUGAAAUAUCAAAUGAAGGAGAACUUUGUAGCGAGGAGACUUCAUCCGUAUAUACCACCCAAACAGACAACUAUGAAAAAGUUUGGUUUGGACGUACCAUAGGAGAAAGUCAACAGGAUUUGCGAAUUUUAGAUUUUUAGAAAGAUAGUAGUUUCGUUCAAAGCGUUUAGUUUGGAUCACUGCUCAUAUAUAUGUUUCCAAACGUAUAUUUAAUACCACAUCUUAUUAUCAUUCUAAUCAUGAUGUCUGGUGGGCCACGGUUCAAAGUCGAGUUGGAUAAUUUCAGUUUUCUCACGUUUAUGAUAAUAAAAUCGCUUGUGGAAUUCUUUUUUUUUAAACAAAUACCAUUGAAUAGACGUACUUCCAAUGUAGUUGUAUUAAUUUUUCUGUAAAUUUUGAAAUAAAUUAUAGAGAUUUUUUUGUUUAAUGAGUUUAUUUAUUGCGUAAAGCAAUAGGAUGAUACAAUAUUAAGAAAUAAAUGUUAUUAGCAACCAGA